Molecule: ribosomal RNA, 700 nt
Filed under: uncultured bacterium
Lineage: Bacteria
Description: bacterial SSU rRNA
Rfam family: Bacterial small subunit ribosomal RNA
Source: RNAcentral
CGAACGAACUAGCAAUAGUUAGUGGCGAACGGCGGAGUAAUACAUAAGUAACGUGCCCUAAAGACCGGGACAAACGCAGAAAUGUUAUGAAUACCGGAUAUGGCCGAGCCUUGGCAUCAAGGUUCGAUUAAAUGGUUUUUCGCUUUAGGAGCGGCUUAUGACACAUCAGGUAGUUGGUGGGGUAAUGGCCUACCAAGCCGACGACGUGUAGGGGGUCUGAGAGGAUGAUCCCCCCGAGUGGGACUGAGACACGGCCCACACACCUACGGGUGGCAGCAGUUGGGAAUCUUGCACAAUGGGGGAAACCCUGAUGCAGCGACGCCGCGUGGAGGAUGACGGAUCUAGGUCUGUAAACUCCUUUUUCAGGGAAAGACUUAGGACGGUACCCUGAGAAUAAGCUCCGGCUAACUACGUGCCAGCAGCCGCGGUAAGACGUAGGGAGCAAGCGUUGUCCGGAUUUACUGGGCGUAAAGGGCGCGUAGGCGGUCUGUUAAGUGAGUACUAAAAUCUCCAGGGCUCAACCCGGAAACCGGUUCUCAUACUGACAGACUUGAGGAAGGCAGAGGUAACUGGAAUUCCUGGUGUAGCGGUGAAAUGCGUUGAUAUCAGGAGGAACUCCAAUGGCGAAGGCAGGUUACUGGGCCUUAUCUGACGCUGAGGCGCGAAAGCGUGGGUAGCAAACAGGAUUAGAUACCCUGGU